RNAcentral lists this ribosomal RNA (404 nucleotides) under uncultured bacterium. Its description in RNAcentral is "bacterial SSU rRNA". It matches the Rfam family "Bacterial small subunit ribosomal RNA", at positions 61 to 507 of the family's 1533-position model. The record is from RNAcentral.
GUCGAACGGGCUCUUCGGAGCAAGUGGCGGACGGGUGAGUAACGCGUGAGAAUGUGCCUUGAGGAUGGGGAUAACAAUAGGAAACUAAUGCUAAGACCCAAUGUGCCUUAAGUGGUGAAAAAUGAAAAUUGCCUGAAGAGGAGCUCGCGUCUGAUUAGCUAGUUGGGGUGGUAAAAGCGCACCAAGGCGACGAUCAGUAGCUGGUCUGAGAGGAUGAGCAGCCACACUGGGACUGAGACACGGCCCAGACUCCUACGGGAGGCAGCAGUGGGGAAUUUUCCGCAAUGGGCGAAAGCCUGACGGAGCAAUACCGCGUGAGGGAGGAAGGCUCUUGGGUUGUAAACCUCAAAACUUAGGGAAGAAAAAAAUGACGGUACCUAAUUUAAGCAUCGGCUAACUCCGUG